CAAAAAUUAAUGACAUGAACCAUUACAACCACUAAAUUGCAGGUUCUAUACAAAAGACAGGCGCAUACAUAAUGUGGCGGGUUUAAACAUGUUUGUGAGCGCUCAACCUUCUAACAUAUGAACAAACUAUAGAAGCCAGUUGAAAAUGGCUUAUCUCAUCAGAUCGAUACAAACAGAAAAAAAACUAACUAAAACAUAGACCGGACGUGACAGAGUAUUUAUAAUACAUCUCUUACAACAAAAUAUAAAAAGUAG
Molecule: long non-coding RNA, 255 nt
Filed under: Mytilus galloprovincialis (Mediterranean mussel)
Lineage: Eukaryota; Metazoa; Mollusca; Bivalvia; Mytilida; Mytilidae
Source: RNAcentral